GACCUGAUAGCACAAGGCAGUGCCUCUGCCUCGUUUGCGUCAUCAGAAAGUUUGACGGCAGAAGAUCCCGGUUCGAUUCCGGGUCGGGUCA
This is a non-coding RNA of Mycena galericulata, 91 nucleotides long. The record is from the annotation of a GenBank genome assembly. Lineage: Eukaryota; Fungi; Basidiomycota; Agaricomycetes; Agaricales; Mycenaceae.